GCCUCCAUAGUUUAAUGGUAAAACAACGGGUUUAUACCCCGCAGUGACAGAUAAUCAGUCGUUCUCAGUUCAAAUCUGAGUGGAGGCCCCA
RNAcentral lists this transfer RNA (91 nucleotides) under Caudoviricetes sp. RNAcentral describes it as "tRNA-Ile". It matches the Rfam family "tRNA". Rfam says of the family: Transfer RNA (tRNA) molecules are approximately 80 nucleotides in length. Their secondary structure includes four short double-helical elements and three loops (D, anti-codon, and T loops). Lineage: Duplodnaviria; Heunggongvirae; Uroviricota; Caudoviricetes. The record is from RNAcentral.